GCGAACGGGGAGGAGCCCAGAGCCUGAAUCAGUGUGUGUGUUAGUGGAAGCGUCUGGAAAGGCGCGCGAUACAGGGUGACAGCCCCGUACACAAAAAUGCACAUGCUGUGAGCUCGAUGAGUAGGGCGGGACACGUGGUAUCCUGUCUGAAUAUGGGGGGACCAUCCUCCAAGGCUAAAUACUCCUGACUGACCGAUAGUGAACCAGUACCGUGAGGGAAAGGCGAAAAGAACCCCGGCGAGGGGAGUGAAAAAGAACCUGAAACCGUGUACGUACAAGCAGUGGGAGCCUCUUUAUGGGGUGACUGCGUACCUUUUGUAUAAUGGGUCAGCGACUUAUAUUCUGUAGCAAGGUUAACCGAAUAGGGGAGCCGAAGGGAAACCGAGUCUUAACUGGGCGUUAAGUUGCAGGGUAUAGACCCGAAACCCGGUGAUCUAGCCAUGGGCAGGUUGAAGGUUGGGUAACACUAACUGGAGGACCGAACCGACUAAUGUUGAAAAAUUAGCGGAUGACUUGUGGCUGGGGGUGAAAGGCCAAUCAAACCGGGAGAUAGCUGGUUCUCCCCGAAAGCUAUUUAGGUAGCGCCUCGUGAAUUCAUCUCCGGGGGUAGAGCACUGUUUCGGCAAGGGGGUCAUCCCGACUUACCAACCCGAUGCAAACUGCGAAUACCGGAGAAUGUUAUCACGGGAGACACACGGCGGGUGCUAACGUCCGUCGUGAAGAGGGAAACAACCCAGACCGCCAGCUAAGGUCCCAAAGUCAUGGUUAAGUGGGAAACGAUGUGGGAAGGCCCAGACAGCCAGGAUGUUGGCUUAGAAGCAGCCAUCAUUUAAAGAAAGCGUAAUAGCUCACUGGUCGAGUCGGCCUGCGCGGAAGAUGUAACGGGGCUAAACCAUGCACCGAAGCUGCGGCAGCGACACUAUGUGUUGUUGGGUAGGGGAGCGUUCUGUAAGCCUGCGAAGGUGUACUGUGAGGUAUGCUGGAGGUAUCAGAAGUGCGAAUGCUGACAUAAGUAACGAUAAAGCGGGUGAAAAGCCCGCUCGCCGGAAGACCAAGGGUUCCUGUCCAACGUUAAUCGGGGCAGGGUGAGUCGACCCCUAAGGCGAGGCCGAAAGGCGUAGUCGAUGGGAAACAGGUUAAUAUUCCUGUACUUGGUGUUACUGCGAAGGGGGGACGGAGAAGGCUAUGUUGGCCGGGCGACGGUUGUCCCGGUUUAAGCGUGUAGGCUGGUUUUCCAGGCAAAUCCGGAAAAUCAAGGCUGAGGCGUGAUGACGAGGCACUACGGUGCUGAAGCAACAAAUGCCCUGCUUCCAGGAAAAGCCUCUAAGCAUCAGGUAACAUCAAAUCGUACCCCAAACCGACACAGGUGGUCAGGUAGAGAAUACCAAGGCGCUUGAGAGAACUCGGGUGAAGGAACUAGGCAAAAUGGUGCCGUAACU
Molecule: ribosomal RNA, 1439 nt
Filed under: Escherichia coli
Lineage: Bacteria; Pseudomonadati; Pseudomonadota; Gammaproteobacteria; Enterobacterales; Enterobacteriaceae
Description: partial 23S ribosomal RNA
Rfam family: Bacterial large subunit ribosomal RNA
Source: RNAcentral